Equus caballus (horse) is the source of this 141-nucleotide microRNA precursor. Lineage: Eukaryota; Metazoa; Chordata; Mammalia; Perissodactyla; Equidae. The record is from Ensembl.
GUCCCAGCUCAUCUUGUUCCUCAGAUUCUUGUUUGCGUGGGGAGGAGGGAGGAGAUGGGCCAAGUUCCCUCUGCCUGGAACGCCCUUCCCCCCCUUCUUCACCUGGCGAACUCCUACUCGUCCUUCAAGACCCAGCUCAAG